AUGCUUUUGACGAGUCCCAAAUUGGAGGAAAUGCGCAUCCUGGAU
This 45-nucleotide non-coding RNA is filed under the name Trichobilharzia regenti. The record is from RNAcentral. Lineage: Eukaryota; Metazoa; Platyhelminthes; Trematoda; Strigeidida; Schistosomatidae.